Molecule: ribosomal RNA, 254 nt
Filed under: uncultured bacterium
Lineage: Bacteria
Description: partial 16S ribosomal RNA
Rfam family: Bacterial small subunit ribosomal RNA
Source: RNAcentral
UACGUAGGGGGCGAGCGUUGUCCGAAGUUACUGGGCGUAAAGCGCGCGUAGGCGGUCAUUUAAGUCUGGGGUGAAAGGUUCAACGCUCAACGUGAACAGUGCCUUGGAUACUGGGUGACUUGAGUUCGGGAGGGGGCAGUGGAAUUCCAGGUGUAGCGGUGAAAUGCGUAGAUAUCUGGAGGAACACCGAUGGCGAAGGCAGCUGCCUGGCCCAGAACUGACGCUGAGGUGCGAAAGCGUGGGGAGCGAACGGG